AAUGGGCGAGAGCCUGAACCAGCCAUGUCGCGUGCGGGACGACGGCCCUACGGGUUGUAAACCGCUUUUGUACGGGAAGAAAAACCCCGACGUGUCGGGGCUUGCCGGUACCGUACGAAUAAGGAACGGCUAACUCCGUGCCAGCAGCCGCGGUAAUACGGAGGAUCCGGNCGGUAUNCGGAUUUAUUGGGUUUAAAGGGUGCGUAGGCGGGCUUUUAAGUCAGCGGUGAAAGUUUUGCGCUCAACGUUAAAAUUGCCGUUGAUACUGGGGGCCUUGAGUGCGGUUGAGGUAGGCGGAAUGUGGUGUGUAGCGGUGAAAUGCUUAGAUAUGCCACAGAACACCGAUUGCGAAGGCAGCUUACUAAAGCGCAACUGACGCUGAUGCACGAAAGCGCGGGGAUCGAA
Molecule: ribosomal RNA, 405 nt
Filed under: uncultured bacterium
Lineage: Bacteria
Description: bacterial SSU rRNA
Rfam family: Bacterial small subunit ribosomal RNA
Source: RNAcentral